UCCGGGAAAAUGAGACUUUGGCUAACUUUAAUUUUCUUUGCUGCGGCUUUGGAAGGUGCCCAGUCCCAGACGCUGGUGGAGUCCGGAGGGGGUGUGAAGAAGCCCGGAGACUCUCUACGCCUCUCCUGCAAAGCCUCCGGCUUCACCUUCAGCAGCUACUACAUGAGCUGGGUCUGCCAGGCUCCCGGGAAGGGAUUAGAAUGGGUCGCUACUAUAACCAGCAGUGGGUGUAGUACAUAUUACCCUGAUUCAGAGAAAGGGCGAUUCACCAUCUCUAGGGAUAAUUCCAAGAGUGAGCUGUAUCUGCAAAUGACUGGCCUCAAGCAGGAGGACACUGCCCAGUAUUACUGUGUGAGAGACACAGUGAGGUGAAGCCGGUCUGAGCUC
Dermochelys coriacea (leatherback sea turtle) is the source of this 387-nucleotide non-coding RNA. Lineage: Eukaryota; Metazoa; Chordata; Testudines; Dermochelyidae. The record is from the annotation of a RefSeq genome assembly.